Molecule: ribosomal RNA, 301 nt
Filed under: uncultured bacterium
Lineage: Bacteria
Description: partial 16S ribosomal RNA
Rfam family: Bacterial small subunit ribosomal RNA
Source: RNAcentral
CAGCAGCCGCGGUAAUACGUAGGGUGCGAGCGUUAAUCGGAAUUACUGGGCGUAAAGCGUGCGCAGGCGGUUCGUUAAGACAGAUGUGAAAUCCCCGGGCUUAACCUGGGAACUGCAUUUGUGACUGGCGAGCUAGAGUAUGGCAGAGGGGGGUAGAAUUCCACGUGUAGCAGUGAAAUGCGUAGAGAUGUGGAGGAAUACCGAUGGCGAAGGCAGCCCCCUGGGCCAAUACUGACGCUCAUGCACGAAAGCGUGGGGAGCAAACAAGAUUAGAUACCCCUGUAGUCCCUGUCUCUUAUAC